Molecule: ribosomal RNA, 270 nt
Filed under: uncultured Faecalibacterium sp.
Lineage: Bacteria; Bacillati; Bacillota; Clostridia; Eubacteriales; Oscillospiraceae
Description: partial 16S ribosomal RNA
Rfam family: Bacterial small subunit ribosomal RNA
Source: RNAcentral
UGAGGAGCUUGCUCUUCAAAUCGAGUGGCGAACGGGUGAGUAACGCGUGAGGAACCUGCCUCAAAGAGGGGGACAACAGUUGGAAACGACUGCUAAUACCGCAUAAGCCCACAGCUCGGCAUCGAGCAGAGGGAAAAGGAGCAAUCCGCUUUGAGAUGGCCUCGCGUCCGAUUAGCUAGUUGGUGAGGUAACGGCCCACCAAGGCGACGAUCGGUAGCCGGACUGAGAGGGUGAUCGGCCACAUUGGGACUGAGACACGGCCCAAACUCC